Molecule: long non-coding RNA, 234 nt
Filed under: Hordeum vulgare
Lineage: Eukaryota; Viridiplantae; Streptophyta; Magnoliopsida; Poales; Poaceae
Description: long non-coding RNA (HVUL_LNC012097)
Source: RNAcentral
UUUCUUUUACCUUUGUUUUAGUUCUUUCCUUUCCAGUUUUUAUUUCUUCUCUUAGUGGAAUAAGUCUUUAGUGUUUAGUUUGAGUCUUUUUCCUUGUGUCUCCUCCGAUGUAUUCGAUCUUGCAAGCUAUAUAAUAAAGAGUAUCUUAGUCAAAGGCUUUGUUUUGUGCCGUGAUCUAAAGUAUUAAAAGCGCGAUAGCAUGAAAGAUCAUGAGAUGAUCUUAUGGAAAGUGAU